GUUCUUUCUUGUGUUGUUCCUCCAGUUCAUGUCUGACUCUGUUCUCUUGAGUUCUCACAUACAUCUGAACUGAAUAGGGUUCAGUCUUCAUGUUCUCUAUAUAAUCCAGCAGUUCUGGGAUCUGUCUGGAGUUUACAGGUUCCUUUAAUCCAAUCACUUUAUAUCGACCCCCACAGAGGCUCUGAGAGUCAACGA
Labeo rohita (rohu) is the source of this 195-nucleotide long non-coding RNA. RefSeq lists it as uncharacterized. Lineage: Eukaryota; Metazoa; Chordata; Actinopteri; Cypriniformes; Cyprinidae. The transcript is spliced from 2 exons. The record is from RefSeq and is a predicted model, not a curated record.